GCGGCGGAUGGGUGAGUAACACGUGGGCAAUCUGCCCUAAAGACUGGGAUACCACUUGGAAACAGGUGCUAAUACCGGAUAACAACAUGAAUCGCAUGAUUCAAGUUUGAAAGGCGGCGCAAGCUGUCACUUUAGGAUGAGCCCGCGGCGCAUUAGCUAGUUGGUGGGGUAAAGGCCUACCAAGGCAAUGAUGCGUAGCCGAGUUGAGAGACUGAUCGGCCACAUUGGGACUGAGACACGGCCCAAACUCCUACGGGAGGCAGCAGUAGGGAAUCUUCCACAAUGGACGCAAGUCUGAUGGAGCAACGCCGCGUGAGUGAAGAAGGUCUUCGGAUCGUAAAGCUCUGUUGUUGGUGAAGAAGGAUAGAGGCAGUAACUGGUCUUUAUUUGACGGUAAUCAACCAGAAAGUCACGGCUAACUACGUGCCAGCAGCCGCGGUAAUACGUAGGUGGCAAGCGUUGUCCGGAUUUAUUGGGC
RNAcentral lists this ribosomal RNA (478 nucleotides) under Lactobacillus delbrueckii subsp. bulgaricus. RNAcentral's name for it is "bacterial SSU rRNA". It matches the Rfam family "Bacterial small subunit ribosomal RNA", at positions 95 to 559 of the family's 1533-position model. The record is from RNAcentral. Lineage: Bacteria; Bacillati; Bacillota; Bacilli; Lactobacillales; Lactobacillaceae.